Lutra lutra (Eurasian river otter) is the source of this 600-nucleotide long non-coding RNA. RefSeq lists it as uncharacterized. The transcript is spliced from 3 exons. The record is from RefSeq and is a predicted model, not a curated record. Lineage: Eukaryota; Metazoa; Chordata; Mammalia; Carnivora; Mustelidae.
UUCAGGCCUCAGGCCACACUUGGUUUUCUCAGGUUUCUCUGCACACAAAGGCCCAAAAUAAUUUUCCGUCAUGACCUGGCCAGGAAGUAGAGCCGGCUCUCAGGGUGGCCACUGAAAAUGGGCAUGUGAGCUUGGUUAUCUGUCCUUAGUGAGUUUUCCUGAUUUUGAAUUUAAAUCACAUACUGUGCGUGUCCGUUCCAGGAAAGGCAAUCAGUCAGUGAUCAGGACACCACAGAAGUGUGAUGACUUUGCAAGGCUGGAGACAUGCUUCCUCAGGAAGACGGAGAAUGACAGAAACAUUUCCUCUCCCUGGAGACAGGAUUCAGACAAAGUACAGUCAUGAGGGAAAGAUUUCACUGAGACACAAUUUAACCCAAAGCCCUAGCAAUGACAGUGUUAUAACCUAAAGUAUAGCUGACAAGUUCUUCUAUUCUCCUAAUGUAAACAAUAAUGCAUUGAGACACUUAUGCAGCAUUUACUUUGCAUGAGAAAAAGCAAGGAGGAUACCAAAAAUCUAGUAGUGAUAAAAGAAAUAAAGAAAGCUUUCUAGGAAACAAUGCUAUAAUUCUAGUUUAUGUUAUUCUCUCAAAUAAAGAUGCU